UACUCGAGUGGCGAACGGGUGAGUAACACGUGGGUGAUCUGCCCUGCACUUCGGGAUAAGCUUGGGAAACUGGGUCUAAUACCGGAUAGGAACCAUCUUUAGUGUGGUGGUUGGAAAGUUUUUUCGGUGUAGGAUGAGCUCGCGGCCUAUCAGCUUGUUGGUGGGGUAAUGGCCUACCAAGGCGACGACGGGUAGCCGGCCUGAGAGGGUGUACGGCCACAUUGGGACUGAGAUACGGCCCAG
RNAcentral lists this ribosomal RNA (243 nucleotides) under uncultured Actinomycetales bacterium. RNAcentral's name for it is "partial 16S ribosomal RNA". It matches the Rfam family "Bacterial small subunit ribosomal RNA", at positions 88 to 334 of the family's 1533-position model. The record is from RNAcentral. Lineage: Bacteria; Bacillati; Actinomycetota; Actinomycetes; Actinomycetales.